RNAcentral lists this ribosomal RNA (497 nucleotides) under uncultured bacterium. RNAcentral describes it as "partial 16S ribosomal RNA". It matches the Rfam family "Bacterial small subunit ribosomal RNA", at positions 28 to 507 of the family's 1533-position model. The record is from RNAcentral.
GAUGAACGCUGGCGGCGUGCCUAAUACAUGCAAGUCGAGCGAACAGAUGAGGAGCUUGCUCCUCUGACGUUAGCGGCGGACGGGUGAGUAACACGUGGAUAACCUACCUAUAAGACUGGGAUAACUUCGGGAAACCGGAGCUAAUACCGGAUAAUAUAUUGAACCGCAUGGUUCAAUAGUGAAAGACGGUUUUGCUGUCACUUAUAGAUGGAUCCGCGCCGCAUUAGCUAGUUGGUAAGGUAACGGCUUACCAAGGCAACGAUGCUUAGCCGACCUGAGAGGGUGAUCGGCCACACUGGAACUGAGACCCGGUCCAGACUCCUACGGGAGGCAGCAGUAGGGAAUCUUCCGCAAUGGGCGAAAGCCUGACGGAGCAACGCGGCGUGGGGGAUGAGGGUCUUCGGAUCGUAAAACUCUGUUAUUAGGGAAGAACAAAUGUGUAAGUAACUAUGCACGUCUUGACGGUACCUAAUCAGAAAGCCACGGCUAACUACGUG